AUGUUCGAGUAUCUAAAUGUUGUCAGCAAGAUGUUUGAUAGUGAGGCUGAAGGCUAUGAAUUCUACAACAAAUAUGCUCUUGAAAAAGGUUUUAGUGUGAGGAAAAGCUAUGUUGAGUGGGAUGGAUCCAACAAAUACAUAAUUUUAAGGAAAAUUGUGUGUAGUCGUCAAGGGUUUCGCGAAGAGAAGCACAUGAAAAGAAAGAUGGAAGAUAGAAAGAGGAGGCCACGAAGUUUAACUCGUGUUGGGGUGUAA
This 255-nucleotide ribosomal RNA is filed under the name Triticum aestivum (bread wheat). Its description in RNAcentral is "partial small subunit ribosomal RNA". The record is from RNAcentral. Lineage: Eukaryota; Viridiplantae; Streptophyta; Magnoliopsida; Poales; Poaceae.